UGGGGAAUAUUGCACAAUGGGCGCAAGCCUGAUGCAGCCAUGCCGCGUGUGUGAAGAAGGCCUUCGGGUUGUAAAGCACUUUCAGCGGGGAGGAAGGCGGUGAGGUUAAUAACCUCAUCGAUUGACGUUACCCGCAGAAGAAGCACCGGCUAACUCCGUGCCAGCAGCCGCGGUAAUACGGAGGGUGCAAGCGGUAAUCGGAAUUACUGGGCGUAAAGCGCACGCAGGCGGUCUGUCAAGUCGGAUGUGAAAUCCCCGGGCUCAACCUGGGAACUGCAUUCGAAACUGGCAGGCUAGAGUCUUGUAGAGGGGGGUAGAAUUCCAGGUGUAGCGGUGAAAUGCGUAGAGAUCUGGAGGAAUACCGGUGGCGAAGGCGGCCCCCUGGACAAAGACUGACGCUCAGGUGCGAAAGCGUGGGGAGCAAACAGG
This 429-nucleotide ribosomal RNA is filed under the name Chloroflexota bacterium. RNAcentral describes it as "Chloroflexi bacterium partial 16S ribosomal RNA". It matches the Rfam family "Bacterial small subunit ribosomal RNA", at positions 355 to 776 of the family's 1533-position model. The record is from RNAcentral. Lineage: Bacteria; Bacillati; Chloroflexota.